GAGGGUAUAGCUCAGUGGGAGAGCAAAUGUCUAGCUUGCAUGAGGUCCUGGGUUCCAUCCCCAGUACCUCCA
Molecule: transfer RNA, 72 nt
Filed under: Camelus ferus (Wild Bactrian camel)
Lineage: Eukaryota; Metazoa; Chordata; Mammalia; Artiodactyla; Camelidae
Rfam family: tRNA
About the family: Transfer RNA (tRNA) molecules are approximately 80 nucleotides in length. Their secondary structure includes four short double-helical elements and three loops (D, anti-codon, and T loops). Further hydrogen bonds mediate the characteristic L-shaped molecular structure. tRNAs have two regions of fundamental functional importance: the anti-codon, which is responsible for specific mRNA codon recognition, and the 3' end, to which the tRNAs corresponding amino acid is attached (by aminoacyl-tRNA synthetases). tRNAs cope with the degeneracy of the genetic code in two manners: having more than one tRNA (with a specific anti-codon) for a particular amino acid; and 'wobble' base-pairing, i.e. permitting non-standard base-pairing at the 3rd anti-codon position.
Source: Rfam by way of RNAcentral